UACAGAGGGUGCAAGCGUUAAUCGGAUUGACUGGGCGUAAAGGGCGCGUAGGCGGUUAUUUAAGUUGGAUGUGAAACCCCUGGGCUUAACCUAGGACGUGCAUACAAGACUGGAUAACUGGAGUACUGUAGAGGGUAGUGGAAUUUCCGGUGUAGCGGUGAAAUGCGUAGAGAUCGGAAGGAACACCAGUGGCGAAGGCGGCUACCUGGACAGAUACUGACGCUGAGGCGCGAGAGCGUGGGGAGCAAACAGG
RNAcentral lists this ribosomal RNA (253 nucleotides) under uncultured bacterium. RNAcentral describes it as "partial 16S ribosomal RNA". It matches the Rfam family "Bacterial small subunit ribosomal RNA", at positions 524 to 776 of the family's 1533-position model. The record is from RNAcentral.